CUUGUCUGAAGGGGCUUUGGAUUCCGCAACAGAAUCUCCAUAUCCUCCAACGUAGACUCACGCCUUCGAAGUCUAGCUGGCUGAGUCCCACUCCUCUCGAAAGCUCCCGCGCUCAAUUGGAGCCCCGCCCCCCGCCCGGUACCUGGUCACCUGAAGCUGCCGCAGUUCGUCCUUAGUAGCAUCCGGCCUUGGAGAUGGUCCAUUGAUCAUGCUGUGGAGCGGCAGCGGCUGAGCUUGGAACCUGGCCCUUGGCACUGAUUGCUCAGGCGUAUCCCCCAGUGCCUCUUACUCGCUGCUAGCCCAGCAAGGAGACCCUGAGCAGAGUGCGCAGGACCCCUCCAGGGUCAUCUCUGCUCUGGUGUGAUGGGGUCCGCAAAGGAGGUCAGAGAUCUCAAAGACUCUUUGCUGUUGGCGCUAAGCACUCUGUGUGGGUGUUGGGGAACCUGCCCUGGGCACCUGUUACAGAGGAACCACCCCUGCAGGCCUUCUGGUCCAGAGAGGUGGGUAGGGUGUGUGCAUAAGCAGCCACCACCUAAUCUCAGGGUGCGAAGCGGGUGGGGCUUUUGCACCUUCUUAGCCAAAGCCCAGUCUUGGGCUCCUCGGCGGAGGUUGCUGCGCAGGAGGCCCAUUGUAGCUUUGUUCUGUGCUGUCUUCUCCUUCACGCCCUGGAUCUGGAGCGCCCGACAUUGUUCUGUAGGUGGUGGAGGGAACAAGAUUUCCAGACACUAGGGUAAAAGGACUGGCUGAGGAUCUCCAAAGCAUCCAGAGAGACACCUGGAAUGAGCUGUACUUGGCAUGGGAGGUUUUACCUUGGAAAUCUUGUCCCAUCUUUCCUGGGCUGCCCUGAAAGCCCCGUUCUCCUGUAAAUACAAGGACUAAACUGGAUCCCAUCUCCUAGAGUGCCCUUCUAAAAUGUCCCAUUUCCUGCUGCCACAUGUGCGGGCAUAUGCAGGCCUGAACUCUGAGGUUCAUCAAAGUAGCCAGCUCUCUAACAGCAAUGGCUUCCCCCAUUUCCAACUGCAGCAAGCUGAACACAGCCAAGGCCUGUUGUAUGCAGCAGGCGGCUUAUAAGUGUUGUAUGCAGCAGGCGGCUUAUAUUGCAGCAGCUUCUGGCUGAGUCUCCAGCUCCCAACUCCCUGCAGAGGCACAGGGACUCACGCACGACUGCUUCUGGUUUUCUAUGUUCUCUCAGCAAAUCUGAAGUAUUGGUUACAGACCCAGGCUUUUGCCUGCCACUUCAAGGUGCAGAGUGUCUUUAUAAGCUGGCCCUGAGAAAUGUCCAGUGCACAGCUUUCAUUUGUGCAGCCUGAGUUGUCACCCUGGUCUAUCAGUCUUGGAGUGUGCAUUCAAUAAACCAUCCCUGUUUAACUG
This 1371-nucleotide long non-coding RNA is filed under the name Mus pahari (shrew mouse). RNAcentral's name for it is "lncRNA (MGP_PahariEiJ_G0003242.1)". Lineage: Eukaryota; Metazoa; Chordata; Mammalia; Rodentia; Muridae. The record is from RNAcentral.